This is a long non-coding RNA of Parus major (Great Tit), 367 nucleotides long. Lineage: Eukaryota; Metazoa; Chordata; Aves; Passeriformes; Paridae. The record is from Ensembl.
UGCUAUGCAUUGUGUGAAGAGAAGCUCUUGUGGCAGCUGAUGGAAGCAUUACCCAAAAUCAAAUGCAAUGUCCCUGAAGGAAGGAACAGAGCAGUGACAGCUGCCACAACCCUUCACAGCCAGCUCCAUGCUCCAUGAGCUGACGAGGUUCUGCACGAGCAGGUGGCUGAGGAGGGCUCUGCCAGGGCAAGGCCAGUGCUCUUGGUGCUGCAGUGUGGGGCACAUCAGUUAAUUGACACAAUCAGACUAACACCCAAAUUGUUCCUCUAAGGCUUGGAACAGACAAGUGAUCUCAUUUGAAAACAAAAGGAACUCAGUGAAUUCUGAAGAGCCUGAUUUUUAGUCUUCUUCCUGAAGUGGACGCCAG